Passer domesticus (house sparrow) is the source of this 3906-nucleotide long non-coding RNA. RefSeq lists it as uncharacterized. The record is from RefSeq and is a predicted model, not a curated record. Lineage: Eukaryota; Metazoa; Chordata; Aves; Passeriformes; Passeridae. The transcript is spliced from 6 exons.
UCCAAGGAGAAAGGCAAGGCAGCCUCUGGCAUUUUGGCAUUCCUUGUCUCAGCCCUCAUUAAGCCUGAAUACUAUUUACAAUAGUAUUUAAAUUCUGAUUGACUAUAUUGUGACCAAUCUAAGCUUGCUCAGUUUUGCACCUAGAUUCCAGAAUGGGUUGAAUUACUCCAUGGCCACUGUUUUCUGAGCAGGGUUAAUAUGAAAUGUAGCUGUCAAAGCCAUGAAUGACUGGAUCACACCAGCCCCUGUUCCCUUAUAGUUCUCCCACCCUAUAUUCUCAGUUCUCUUAGGGGGCACCAAGACAUUUAGACAGCUGCAUCCCAGUGGAAGGGAGGGACUGACUUUUAGCUCUGCAAAAUCUGUUCUCUCAGGUCCACACAUGCUGGAGAAGACCGAGGAGAUUCAGCCCAGCUGAUUAGUUUUGCUUAAGGUCACACAACACAACUCAGUCUUGAGUAAAUGUGGAUUCGUCGCACACACAUCUGAAUUUAUGGGCUGCAGGAAGGUGGGAUGGGGCUGUCCAAAGAGACAAGGCUGGCAGACUCCUGUGUGACAAAGCCUGUUCAUAGCAGGAAGAGUUGGUAGCCUGCGGAAAACAUCUUCUGUCUCAGAAAACCAGGGGAAUGCACACAAUUUUUACUCUUGCCCAGGUUCCACUAACUCUGGAAUGCAUCUAUGUACUGACCUUGAUUCACUCCUGCAGGACAGGAAUUCAGUUCUGUCAGUGGAGUGCCAGGAGCCCAAAGUGUGUUUCUCCACCCUACGGCAUCUCAAAGUGAUGAAGGCAACACAGGAAAAAUAAGGUAAUAUGAAACACUCUGCAGAAAUGAAAGCUGAUGGUGUGAAUGUACCAAGUGGUAAGGCAGAGUCUGAGGUAUUUAGAUAUGGUUCCAUCAAUCACAAGAUGGCAUUUGAGUCUGAGAUGCAAAGACAUCUGCAAACCCCCUAUACAUUUGGAAAAACAGAAUCUAGGCAAAACAGGUGUGCAUAAAACCAUGGGAUUUUUUUCCAAGCUUAAUUUAUGAGUUCAGAUUUUAGUAAUUUCUGUACAUCAUUUAGGAGAAGGGACUUUGGGGGCUCUGAUCAUGCCUUACUGAGAUAAGGAAUGGGCAAAUGAAUAAAUGCAAAGGAAGAAAUGUUUCACAAGAGGCUCCUGCAUUCAUAAGCACUGCUUUGUAGCUGCAGAAUUAUUUCUGUGACCUAAAAGGAGAAUGCAUUAUUAUGAGAGGAAGAUACCUCUCCUCAGAUGCUCUGUUCCCUGUGUGAAAGUAAAGAUGCAUGAGUAAGUAACAAUGCAUAAGCAGAGGGAUGGAAGACUGACUGAUGCUGGAGCUGGAAAUCUGUACUGGUACUCAGCACUGCUCCAUUGCUUUUACUGGUACAUAAACAUAUGAUUAGCACUUAUGCCUGUCAGCACUCCCAUCACAUUCAUCAGAACCACCACUGUUUCCUGUUCAGUAGAAGCUUAAAUGCUCUGUUGUCACAAGCUGAGAAAAUCAGAACUUUGUUCCAUGCAGGUGAAACAACACUGCCUUGCUCAGCCCACUGAGCCUCACACCAUCACUUGCAAGAGACAGAUCUUGGUAUAACAACAGAAGAACAAGUGCUUUCAAAGACAGACUUCAGCCAGUGCGUGAGUCAGAAAACUAACUUGUCACAUAAUGAUAUGAAAAUGUGGGGUAAAAAGUUGAGAGCGUCCCUCCAUGAAGCUUACGGCAGUGUCUGAGUCACCACAGGACAUGAGAAAGCUGCUGGCAAUGGCAUGCAAAGCAGGCUGGAGCUGAAUUCUCCUGUUAUGUAACUCCUACGUUAGCAUCUUCUCUGUUCCAUAUAUAAACCCAGAAAACAUUAAAAAGCUGUUGCUGAAAGCACUGCUUUUAUUUAUUCAUUUGUAUGAGCCAAAUGUGACUUAAAACAUUACAUAUUUUCCACACAAGCUUUAGUACAGGACCAGACACUUUCUUUGCUGGAAUUGAUGAGACCAUUUAUUUCUGGACUCAUUAAAAGGAUGUUUGCACCCCCUAGUGUAUAAGAAUUUGCAAGAAAGCAGGUUCUUCUAAUAGCAUUAGCUAAAUGAGGAUGUUUAGUAUUAAGCCAUAAUAAAAUCCCCCUGCUACAGUCUUAAGUAAUUUCAAGGGAAAGAAUCAUAAACUCAAAGAUCAUCUUAGGUGCAAUCUCUCAUGUCCCUGACCUCAACAACUGUAGGACCUGAAAAUGAGUUUUACUGAGUUGGAUUUUUAUCUCACUGGAAGAUAUCAGGGACUUACAGCUCAAAAAUGAGACUGUACUGAAACCAAAGAAUCAAAUCCAGACCUUCAGGGAUGGUCUGCAACUCAGGGAUGUUGCACCCAGCAUCAGCCCAUUAGUGAGAUAAUGUCUGAAGCUCUGCUUCACUGAAGGACAGAUUUCUUCGGAUUGAACUUUACUCCAGUUAACAGAAACUGUGAAAAUGAGAGGCAGGCACUUAAUUGCUCUCCAAGAACUACUGCCCAAAUUGUCACAGGCAUGCAGACCUCUCAAUUCAGACAAUGGCUCACAUCCUGCUGUUUGGAGAUAGAUCUUAAAACACUUCUGAAAAAACUUCUUACAGCUGUGGAUUCCUUUCUCAUUCUUAAGAUGUGACUUCACUUAUGGUGUUAAACAAGGCAGACCCCGUCCCUGAGAUGAACCAACAGAACUUCCCUCGCUGGGACCCAAAGUGGCAGUUCAGCUCCCUGUGUCCAGUGUGAGUCUGGAACCCGAGGAAAGCCCUGGUGCUCCUGGAACCAAACCAAACCCAAAUGCUGGCUCCUGGCUGUUGAGUGUGGAAAGGGAAUGGUUUAUGGGAGCACUUUCUGGUGGGACUUGCACUGACUUUUGAAGAUUCACUGUGUGACCCAGACCUCUGCAGUGUAGACUGGUAUGUGCUGCUUGCUGCCUGUCACUCGUGUGGGCAGGUUCUGAUCUGACCAAACUACACACAUGUGUUCUCAAGAAUUCCCCUGCUCAGCCCUGUGCUGAAAACAGGAUUUCACCAUUUCCCUUGAGGUGUCCAAAAGCCAGUCACUGCAGCCUUGGCAAGUGUCUGACAAUCAGAAAUAUGAUACUGCCAAGGAAAAAAAGCAGACUGUUUUCAUUAUCCAAGCAGAAUGAAAUGUAAAAAGCAAACAAACUGCAUAAAUGAUGAAAAUUAUAUUAGAUUUUUAGAUUUACUUUCAUUAUCUAAGUAGUUUCUAAUAAUAAAUGUAUUCCAAAAUAUGAGUUUCAGCCAGUGGUAUUUACUAUAUUAAAACCAGACUGAUUUUAUUUACUGUACUAUGCUUGUUAGCUCAUCCAAGCCACUUUAUUCUGUAAUUUAAAAUUAAUUCUUUGGGCUUUCUUUCAAAGAAAAGAAACUUGGCUUGUUGACAGAAUAAUCCUUAAUAAGUCACAACCAAGAAACUGCCAGGAGCUGUGAUGAUGACUUCUGUCAGAUAUUCUUUUCUUCCAGAGAAUGGAGUCAUCAUGAUAUUAAUGAAGAGUUCUUUGUGUCAUUUGUGUAAAUAAAUAACAGUAAUAAUGUAAUACAUAAAAAGAGCCAGAAUAUCACAGCUAAGGGUCCCCAAAGAAUUACAUUUUAAGGUUCAGGAGUACCAGUGUGAUAUAAAGCAGGAAAAUUGUAUAAUGAGAAUGAGUUUUAAAAAUUACAUGAACAAAAAGAAAAUUGUACUGGCAUGUGCAGGUGUCAAUUUUAAAAGCAGUUCUCCAACCCAUAUUUUGAAAAUUAAAUCGAUCUGCUUUUACUUGCAAAUGUCUUUCUUUUUUGUUUAAUUACAAGCCCAGAUCUUUCCUUAUAAAUUAAUUUCUUGUUGGAGCCUUUCUUUUUUACUGUCAUUACCAGAUACUCAGUACUGUGAUUUUUGUGGGACAAAAUUCCAGCUGGAAAAC